UACGGGGGGAGCAAACGUUGCUCGGAAUUACUGGGCGUAAAGGGCGCGUAGGCGGAUAGUUUAGUCAGAGGUGAAAGCCCAGGGCUCAACCUUGGAAUUGCCUUUGAUACUGGCUAUCUUGAGUUCGGGAGAGGUGAGUGGAAUGCCGAGUGUAGAGGUGAAAUUCGUAGAUAUUCGGCGGAACACCAGUGGCGAAGGCGACUCACUGGCCCGAUGCUGACGCUGAGGCGCGAAAGCGUGGGGAGCAAACAGG
Molecule: ribosomal RNA, 253 nt
Filed under: uncultured bacterium
Lineage: Bacteria
Description: partial 16S ribosomal RNA
Rfam family: Bacterial small subunit ribosomal RNA
Source: RNAcentral